This 206-nucleotide microRNA precursor is filed under the name Oryza glumipatula. Its description in RNAcentral is "MIR812 microRNA precursor family". It matches the Rfam family "MIR812 microRNA precursor family". The record is from Rfam by way of RNAcentral. Lineage: Eukaryota; Viridiplantae; Streptophyta; Magnoliopsida; Poales; Poaceae.
AAAAAGGUAAACCCUGGGUUUCCGUGUCCAACUUUGAUUGUUCGUCUUAUAUGAAAUUUUUUUAUAAUUCGUAUUUUCAUUGUUGUUAGAUGAUAAAACAUGAUUAAUAUUUUAUGCGUGACUUGUCUUUUUAAUUUUUUUUAUAAUUUUUUCAAAUAAGACGGAUGGUCAAACGUUGGGCACGGAAACCAAGGUUUGUCUUUUUU